GGGCGGACGGAGAUCCGGGUCCUGACUGCAGCUUCCUCCCCGUGGAGCCGCAUUUCCAGGCACCUCCGCAGCCCUAGCCCCAGCGCGCCGAGCCGUUCCCGGCCGUGCCGCCUGGAGGCGCGGAGCCCGCCGGGCUCGCCCAGCCCUGCAGCUCCGGCCGGGGCGGAGGCCGCCGGACCGCGGAGAUGCGGGGCGGGGGCAGGGCGCGGGGUAGGUGACUUUAUCCCGCCUCUGUUUCCCUGCCCCGGGGAGCAAUGACAUCACGCGGCCUUCUCCAGGCGCCGACACAAAGAGCGGCGCGGAGAGGCCGCUGCGGGGGGACCCGGCGGCCGCCGCUGCCGCCCCGGGCCCUGGGGCCCCGCCGGCCAGGCCCGCCGCCCGCGGCCCGCGCCCUUCCUGCUCCUCCUCCGCCGCCGCCGCCUCGGUCGCCGCCGCCCGCGCCGCCCGCGCCCCCAGCGCGCCGCUGAGCCCGCGCCGGGCCGCUCCGGCCCCAUUCCCAUGCGGGCGGCGCGGGCCCUGGGAGGGGCGCCCGCAGCCAGCCGCGCAGCAUGCACUGGGGGGUUGGCUUUGCCUCGUCCAGGCCGUGCGUGGUGGAUCUGAGCUGGAACCAGAGCGUCUCCUUCUUCGGCUGGUGGGCCGGGUCCGAGGAGCCCUUCUCCUUUUAUGGGGACAUCAUCGCUUUCCCUUUGCAGGAUUACGGUGGGAUCAUGGCAGGGCUGGGCUCCGAUCCCUGGUGGAAGAAAACACUUUACUUGACCGGGGGAGCUUUGCUGGCCGCAGCUGCGUAUCUGCUCCACGAACUCCUGGUCAUUAGGAAACAGCAAGAGAUUGACUCCAAAGAUGCUAUUAUUUUGCAUCAGUUUGCAAGACCUAACAAUGGUGUCCCCAGUUUGUCUCCUUUCUGUUUGAAAAUGGAAACUUACUUAAGGAUGGCUGACUUACCCUACCAGAAUUAUUUUGGUGGAAAACUUUCUGCUCAAGGGAAAAUGCCUUGGAUUGAAUAUAAUCAUGAAAAAGUUUCUGGCACAGAAUUCAUAAUUGACUUUCUGGAAGAGAAACUUGGAGUGAAUUUAAACAAAAACCUUGGCCCUCACGAAAGAGCCAUCUCCAGAGCAGUGACCAAGAUGGUGGAGGAGCACUUCUACUGGACGUUAGCUUAUUGCCAGUGGGUGGACAAUCUCAAUGAGACCCGGAAGAUGCUCUCUCUUAGUGGUGGCGGUCCCUUCAGUAACCUGCUGAGGUGGGUCGUGUGCCACAUAACGAAAGGAAUUGUGAAGCGCGAGAUGCACGGCCACGGCAUUGGCCGCUUCUCAGAGGAAGAGAUUUACAUGCUGAUGGAGAAGGACAUGCGGUCCUUGGCAGGGCUUUUGGGUGAUAAGAAGUACAUCAUGGGCCCCAAGCUUUCUACUCUCGACGCCACUGUCUUUGGACACUUGGCACAGGCAAUGUGGACCUUACCUGGGACAAGACCUGAACGGCUGAUCAAAGGUGAGCUGAUCAACCUUGCCAUGUACUGUGAGAGGAUAAGGAGGAAAUUCUGGCCCGAGUGGCAUCACGAUGAUGACAACACCAUCUAUGAAUCUGAGGAGAGCAGCGAAGGAAGCAAAACCCACACACCCCUGCUGGAUUUCAGCUUUUACUCAAGGACAGAGACCUUUGAAGAUGAGGGAGCAGAGAACAGUUUUUCCAGAACCCCAGAUACAGAUUUCACUGGACACUCGCUCUUUGAUUCUGACGUGGACAUGGAUGACUACACAGACCACGAACAGUGCAAGUGAUGUUCAGCCUCGCUGACCCUCUUCUGCCACACCCUGGGGUUGGUCCAAUUUCCCAGGUAGAAAUCCAUCUCAGCUGGGAGGAAAUCUUCGUGCUUGGCACACUUCUCACAAGCUAACUGGACUCUAGCAGCCUUAUUUCCUUUUGUACAAACAAAACACAGAACCAUUCAGAUGGCUCCAUUUAAAACAAACAGGCAAAAAAAAAAAAAAUGUCAGCAUGGUUCCUGAAAUCCAUUUUUGUUUUCAUUAGAAAACUAACAUUGUGUGGUAGAGCCCAUGCAAGAACAGGUUGUCUGUGGAUCGUGUUUAUGUAGAUCCUCUUCAACCCGAGGGCUUAGUUGUGAGACGGAUUCUCAAGCAUCCUUCAUCCACGUGGGUUCGAAGUAAUGAGCGAAGUCAUCAGGAGAAAUGUAGGAGACAAAUGUUCUAUGGUGACUGCUUGUAUUUUAUGUGUGUAUAUUGUAUGUUGAGAUAAUUCAAAUAAAAUCCAUAGAUAUUCAGUGAACACCUACUAUGUGCAAAGCACUGUGCUAGGUGCUAAUCAGUAUAAGUUUUCUUCUCAGUCCUGCCAGUGACUAGCUGUGUGAUUUUGGGCAAGUCCCUUAAUUCUUGUGUGCCUCAUUUCCCCCACCUGUAAGGUGGGGCUAACAAUACUCUCCACCUACCUACCUCACAGGGGUGUUGUGAGGAUUCAUGUGGUAACAUUCGGCGCUUUAAACCUCUUGGAAGAGCUAUGACAUAAACACAACAUUUUAGUCUUGAUUGUGCUUCCGAUGUAUGAAGAAGAUUCGAGGGCAAAGGAAUUCCAUAUCCAGCCAACAACAGCCACAGUCACUUGCAAAAGCCCAGCAGACGAAACACAUGCAAAGGCACAGCUAAGACUCUGUCCUCGUUCUUCCCUGUGAUCUUGCUUGAAUUGAAAUCUUUUGUUGAAAGAACCUUGAACAUAUUUUUACAGAUCAUCAACAGUUCCAAACAGUCUUCAAUGCUGUGUAUCUGCAGAAGUCUUUCUUUCGUUGCCUGAACGCACACUGGAAUGUUGUCCUUUGUUGACUCCCGAGGGUUAAGUUGCCUCUGUGUGGUUUAUCUGAAGGGAGUAAAGCUCAGAAAUAUGAUGGGUUUCAUAGAGGUGAAGGGGAAAGGAUUUGACUGCUUUUUCUAAGCAGAUGCUUGCCAGCUUGUAAUGUCUUUUUGAAAACAAACCUUGCAAGAUGUAUUGAAAAGAUGAAGUAUGAAGAGGAUCAUGUUACUGGUAUCAAAGCACUUUGUGCAGUGUAGACUCUAUGCAGUUUUACUAAUGCAACUUUUCUGGCGUUCUCAGGCAUUGUCCCGUAAAAGGAAGGCAAUGCUGAGGACAAAUCUUAAUGUUUCUUAAGGAUCUCCCAUAGCCUCCCUGGGCUCCCUCUCCUUCCCCGUAGAGCACAUGGACCCUUGCGGUUACUGUAUUUACUAAGGCACUCUGUCUCUGAAGACAUCAUUUUUGUUGACUUAGAACAUUUUCCAGUGAAAUAUGGGAUGAAGAUGCUGGGGUGAGGGCCAUGCAUUUGGGCUAGGAGAGUCAGUGUUAAGAUUUACAACUGCAAGCAGAACUGCUGUACUCCUGAUCACCACAGACUCGCUGGGUAAUGGCUAUUCAUUGUGGGGCUUGAGAGGCACUGCUUUAAAGACCGCAACGUGUGCUGAGAAGUUCAUGUACUAUGCUUGAAAAAGACUCUCUUUGCAUAUGGCCUUUGCAAAAACAAUCCUAAAAUGCUGUGGAUUCAACAAAGAGGUAAAGGGGGAGAGUUGCUGAGGCUAUUUACCAUUGAAGCAACCAUGUAGGACAUAUGUAACUGGGAGGAAAUGCGGAGUUGCCCUGAGUUAGAAAUUCUUACUGCACAGGAAACCCAGUUGUUAGUAGCUUAUUAAAACCAUUCAUCUUUGAGAGGACUGUUUGGUGCCUCAUGAAAAUGUGGUGGAGAAGAUAGGAAUGGAUGAGCGUGUUUUAUCUCCAGGGUCACUUGGGAGGACUGUUCACCUCUUUUGUUUCUAACAAACAAGCAUGUUCCAAGGUCAGCUGGUGGUAGUUCUGUGUGACUAGGGAAACUUUGGGCUUGAAAAUUUCAAUACAAUAAACGGAUGGGCUGUAGACCUAGCCGCACAAAGACCGAGUUGCCCUGUCCCUACCCUUAGCUGGAAAGAGUUGUGUUUGAAAUUUUGCCUACAAUUUAUUCUUACUAUAUAGCACCAGGUGUGUUGUAUCUUUACUUCAGGAAUGAUUAAGUUAUGACUGUGUAGAGCCCCAUAUUUUUUAUCGUGCAUUGCUUGGAGGACGAGUACAUGGAGAGCCAGUGUUCAUUAUAAAGUAAGUGAUUCUAUCCAGGUACCUCUCACAGGGCUUGAAUGGACAUUACCACUUGGAGUCUUGGGUACUAGCCUGACAGCUCAUGACUGGGUAGCCAACAUUUUGUAGGUGUAACUUGAUUUGGAACCCUGGAAUAAUAUCCCCAGGUUUUACCUUUCCAACGUGGGUUAUGGAAACAAAAUGACCAAGACAGAAUUGGUAUGGUGUGGAUGACCUGGGUAGUCUUUAUUGGGUGGGCUUUAAUUUUAUCUUUUUAAAUUUUAAUUUUAUCUUUCAUUCUUAAGCUCUCCAGAUUUGAAGUAUUCUCCAGUAUGCUGAACAGGUGCUACUUAUAAGAAAAAAUAACAAGAAAUUAGGGGACAUUUUGGUUAUCUGGCUUACUUGUUCAAGUUGUGUUUCUUUUUUACUGGAAAGUAACUUAAGGAAAGUGUGAUCUUUAAUGUUAACAGAUGUUUUUGGUUGGGCAGAAGACCCGCUAGCCACCUGUUCUUUUUUUUACCUGUCAUUGUAAAAAUAAAUUCUGCCCCUCCAUCCCUCUCCCUUUGCCCCUCAUCCCCACUCAUCAGAAUUGAGGAACAGCCACGGUAUGAUUUAAUCUGCAUAUGGCAGAGUAGAUAUAAGGGCAGUAUAAGUUUAUAGCAUUUUGUUGUUGUAACAUAAUGAAUUGUGAACAGUGAUGCUCCCGCGGCCAUGAGCUACCCAGGUGACUGAUCAUAGACUUAGAACAACUUGGACUCGAAUCACAACUACAGUCUGGCUCUCCAGUGAGCCCUGCCUGUGUGUACUGUGGUAUUUGGUAUUAGGAUAUGUUUUCCUGAAAUAGAGUUCAAGGAAAGGAAGAGCUAGGGAUUUUAGCUUCCUGGGUCUUGCCUAGAUUAUCUGAGAGAAAGUGUAGAAUCAUAGCAAUGUAUAGCUGGGCCAUGGGUUAGUUGUAGAAAGCUCCUUACAAGAGAGCCUCUGAGGUUGUUACUGGCUCCGUGUCAUAUGCACAUUCAUUUGCAGGGCAGGACCCGGACUGAAGUCUUUCACCUUGCCUUAGAUGGUUCUUGCUAUUACACCACUUUGACUUGGUUUCCUUUUCCACGUCCCCUGAGAAAUCACUCCGCACUCAUGGAACCAGCAUGUCCCCAGCCUCUCUCGAAGAGUGCUUGGAGUCUUCCACUCUUGUCCUCCAUGUCUGUUCAGCCGGGUCCAGAUCAGUUCAAGAGAUCUUUCGUUAGGAUUUACUCUGUGCAAGGCACUGCUAGGCUCUAUGAAUGAUACCAAGUCACCAAGACUCCUUAUUCUUUGUUACUUAUCUUUUAAGAAUCCAUUCCCAUAUGCUCACUCAUUGCAUAUUUACUGAGCACCUACCCUGUGCCUGGCCCUGGGACCCACACUGGAUAUAGAGUGGUGAACAGAACAGACAUGGCACCCUAAUUUUAGGGCAUCCUCUUUUGCUUAGACUACUGUGAUAGCCUCUUUUAAAUGCUUAGUCAUUUCCCUGAUCUAUUCCACCCAUCACCAUUAAUUUUUUUAAAAAGCUCUGGCCCUGAGGGCAUGCCAUAUUGCCUCAGGGUGAGGGCCACUCCCUGGGGCCUGGUAUUCUCACCUCUUCCUUCAUCUCAUUUCCUGGGGUGUCUGCCAGGGCUCCUCCAUGUGAGCCAUCCAGUGCAUCCAGGUUGGUCUGCUUGCCGUUGCCUAAACAUGCCUCAUGUCCCCACUCCGCCUCUGCUUAUGCUAGCCUCUCUCCUGAAAUGCCUGCCCUUCCCGUCCACUGGCCCAACGCAUGCCCACCUCUCAAGGCCCAGCUUCAUGAGUUCUGCAAGAAGACUUCCCAGCUCAUUAUAGUCUCCCCUUCCUCUGGAAACACAGCACUCAUCAUUUCCUUCCCUGAUGGCUGCACGGGAAAGGGUGAAGUUAUUUUUAUUGCUCCUGACCACGAUCCAAGAUCCUUUGCUCUCCUUUACGUGCAGUGCUGUUUAAGUUGAACAAGAAUCGAUGAAAGUACAUUUGAUGACAAAUACUUCUAAGUCUGAAUGCUGAACUCUGGCAACCCAUCUUUAAUAGGUCCAGCCAUCAAUUAUGUAUGAUUGUGGAGUGCUUGACCUUUAUUCAGUUGCUUCCAGUGGACUGGGUGAAACUUGGCGAAGUUUGAAAGGAUCCCCUUGGUGGGUGGGGCAGGAGGUCCCACUUGCCUGGAGCGCUCUUGCUAGUGCCAGGAGUAAAUGCAAACACAUCAUGAAUGUUUUCUUCAUUUGAAUUCCUUACCAGAAACCUGGGUUUUUAGUCCCUGACUUCAAAGAAUAUCUGAAAGAUAGUUAAGGUUCCUUAACCUUCAGGAUAAGAUAACUGGAAUGAGUAACAUGUUGGCCUUUGUCUUUACAGAUGGUUACAGAGGAAACUGAAAAAUAGCUUAAAGGAAAGUGACUCAGCUCUCUUGGGGCUGACACUGUGACCCCCUCAAGCAUUCUUGCUCUUGCCAAGGCAGGGGACUUGUCCCCAGAACAAGGCUCUCUGAAACUUCCGUUGCUGGCUAGAUUAUGACAAAGUGGGAUGCUCAAAUUUCAAGAAGAUUAUUGUCCUAAAUUGUAAAACUUGUAGAUAAAUAGAGGGGCCCAUUGCAAUAAUAAACUAACUUAUGAAUGUGGUCUAGCCAGCACCAACACUGUGAUCAUUUUUUUUUUUUUUAAAGAUUUUAUUUAUUUAUUUGACAGAGAGAGAGACAGCAAGAGAGGGAACACAAGCAGGGGGAGUGGGAGCGGGAGAAGCAGGCUUCCCGCGGAGCAGGGAGCCCGAUGCGGGGCUCGAUCCCAGGACCCUGGGAUCAUGACCUGAGCCGAAGGCAGACGCUUAACGACUGAGCCACCCAGGCGCCCCCACUGUGAUCAUUUUAAUGGGAGAGACAAGUUACCUAGAAUAAAAGAUUGGUAGAGACUUUAGUGUUCUUACAUAAUUAAAUAAUGUCAGCAAUGAACGUGAUGGCCUUCUUGGAUUUUUAAAAAUUGUUGUUGUCUCUAAUUGCAGCUUUAAAUAUUUUGAAACAAUCCACCAAUUGUAGAACAAUAUAUAUUUAUGAUAAUGGCUAAUUUUAUAAAAAGUAGUAUUACUAAGUAUGACUAAUUCACCUCCCCCCGUAGCAAGCAUCUUUUUUUUUUACUUUAUGGUCGGAAUAGAGUAACUCAUUUAUCAAUGAUAGUUAAACCUUUUCCUUUCUUUAGUGUUUUUAAAAAUUACCUAUGGCUUUAAAAACAAUAGGAUUUAGCUCCUGAAUUGCCAUGUUAAUUAGCUGUGUCUAAACAGAUAGCAGAGAGAAUACAAUUGUUCAGUGGAGGGCUAGGAAAGAGAAAUCCUUUGGAUAUUUACCCUCCUCUUAAAAAGCAAAACAAAACAGAACAGCAAUCUGUGGACUUUUCCCUUUAACAGUUCAGAAUUGGAAGUGUUGUGUCCUAUUUGCUUCUGUCUCUCGAUGAGAGAUCCCAUUUGGCUUAUUCAAACACAAACCAUGUCCAAAUGAUUGUAUUUUUACUUUAAACAAAUUGUAUCUGACUUCUCUUGCAGCAAUAAGAUUAAAAACAGUGCUCAAAUUUUUGAGACAUCUCUGCUUCAGUAGGGGCGACAUGUUUGUGUUCCUCCUGUCAAAAUGAUUACCUCAAGUAAUGCAUCUCACGGGAUCAUGCUUAUCGUAAACAUGUGUUUUCCCCAGAGAUGUGCAUCAUGCAGAGCGUCUGACAACUCACACGGUGGUGAUGGUCGGGAAGAUGAGGGUCUGAAUCCUUCAUCGGGUGGUGUUAGGAUUUCGUGGAGUGGGAGGUGACAGAUGCGACGGCUUCAGGCAGCCAUGUGGUAUGGCUGUGCUAGAAUGUGUCAGGCACAUCAGAAGUUGUCUCAGUGGUGGCUUUAGUAUCACAGUACAGCAUCCAGGCUCAUCAGUCAAAAACACAUGCAAUCUGUGGGGCAGGGUUGUUUGUGGAUAUACAAGACCAGUGCAGGAAGUGCUAAAGUUACGUUGAUCUUUGUCUUCAUUUAUAUGCUCAAGCUCCGGGACUGUCCUACCUGAAGCCAAGCCUGGGAAGUAGGGGAGCAGCUGAGAGCGGAGCACUGGCUGCCACCCCAUUCCUUUGACUCUGGAGCUUCCUUCUAGUUUCUCAAAAGGGUUUGUGGCGUCUGGUUUCCGUUUUAUAAAUAUAAAAUGUACAAAGGAAUGUAUAUUUGUUUUAUAGAUGUCUUUUAAAGGGAGACACCCCAAAUGAUCCGUAUGGAGGUAGCGUCUCCAAACCUUUCUGCUCAUUUACCCCCCGGUAAAACUUUCUGAGCUUGCCCUUUAGUAUAUUUAUUUGUAAACACACACACACACAGACACACUGCACACACUGCUGCACUGAUAUGUACAUUAAAAACCAUGGCAAACAGAAUUUUUCAAAGACUAUUCUUCUGUACUCAGUAGAGUUUAGGGAACGGGGCAAGGUGUAUUUAAGGGUAGCGCCUAGAAGGCUGCAAUCGAUGAAAGAAUGUCUAUGUAACAUUUGUGGCAAAGUGGCUGUAAAAUAGGCAUGGGCGCAUGAUCGCAGGUCAAGGAAUGUAUGUAUGUGUGUAUUUACUUUUACUUAAAACGGGCAUUUUUGGCUGGGGAAGAGAAUAGUGAAGAAAGAGAUGUCCCCUUUACACGAGCUAUUUUUCAUUCUGUUUUUUGGGACCACUUGAUCUAGAAUGUUUUGGAAAUUUCUGAAAGAUUUCACAGUCCAUGGAUUUAAGCAAAAUAAGAAAACAUAGGAGGGGGAGAAACAAAUAAUGCAAAGACGGGAUGCAUUGCUUGAGAAUUUCAGUACCGAUCUGAAAAGCAUGUUCCGAUAAUUCCUGGUACCCACCAUCUCACUGAUUAUAUAUCUCUCUUCUAUUUCUUUAUAACCCCAUGUCUCCAAAUGUGUGGAAGAUGCACAGAUUCAUUUUCAGAUAUCUGAGGUAGGAAGGACCGAUGUUGGUAUCAUUCAAACCCACAUUUCAGCUGCUUGGGGGCUGAUGGGUGGACACGGCCUGGAAGUAUUUACCUACACCAUCUGUUUUGCAAACACAACGAAUAGCAUCUUGCUGAACAAGGGCCUCAAUGUGGAGGUGGCAUUCCAGUGUUUAUUUCUGGACCUAUGAGUUACUUUAGCACAGUUAUUGUUAGUAGUUUAUAAAGCCAUAUUUAAACUUGUACACUUGAUUGUAAGAUAGAUUUGAAUUGUGCACUAUGUUGAUUACUGUAUAUAAAUGUGGAAAUUCUGUACAUUUGGUCUCAAUGCUGUAUGUAUUUGAUGUGUAAAUGAUAACUAGCGGUUAUGAAA
Mirounga angustirostris (Northern elephant seal) is the source of this 9428-nucleotide RNA transcript. It is a transcript of the gene named failed axon connections homolog, metaxin like GST domain containing, with no coding region annotated. The record is from RefSeq and is a predicted model, not a curated record. Lineage: Eukaryota; Metazoa; Chordata; Mammalia; Carnivora; Phocidae. The transcript is spliced from 7 exons.